This 553-nucleotide long non-coding RNA is filed under the name Helianthus annuus (common sunflower). RNAcentral's name for it is "hypothetical non coding rna". Lineage: Eukaryota; Viridiplantae; Streptophyta; Magnoliopsida; Asterales; Asteraceae. The record is from RNAcentral.
GCUGUCAUGUGAUUCCUCUUCCACUUUCACAGGUUGAUCCCCGCACUGGAUUUUUUCAUCUGGUGUAGGUUCGAUCACCCUCGUCGGUCCAUCUUCUAGUAGGGCCUCUAAAUAAUCUAGAUCACCUAUAGUACCAAGCUCUAAUACUUCUUCAUACUCUGGUAAACCCUCUAACUCUCCAGCAAGCUCUCCCUCCCAAAACAACACAUCCUCACUCUCAUCAUCUUCCACCUCUACACCAAACAACAUGGGACUUAAGGCAACAAGGAACGCAAGAUCGAGUAAAUCAUCCAAGUAGGUUCACUGCGAGCUUGGAAUGAACACACCGCUCUCAAGCGCUUCCGAUAUGACUAAAGGCCAAACGUGUCAAAACUUUUGUAGUAAACUUUUACGGUCAAAGUCUAGUUUGUGUUAAAUGCUUUUUUUAAACUCUUGUUUUGUAUGCAAGUUAUGGUAGUUUGUUAGUACAACUAUGUAUUUUUAACUUGGGAAUGUUAAACUUGGUUUCUUUAGAAAUUUUGUAAGUAGCGUUUGAAAAGUGCUAAAAAUUUAC